RNAcentral lists this ribosomal RNA (250 nucleotides) under uncultured prokaryote. Its description in RNAcentral is "partial 16S rRNA". It matches the Rfam family "Bacterial small subunit ribosomal RNA", at positions 525 to 775 of the family's 1533-position model. The record is from RNAcentral.
ACGUAGGGGGCAAGAGUUAUCCGGAAUUAUUGGGCGUAAAGAGUGCGAAGGUGGUUUUUUAAGCGUGAGGAGAAAGGCAAUAGCUUAACUAUUGUAAGCCUUGCGAACUGGAAGACUUGAGUGCAGGAGAGGAAAGUGGAAUUCCUAGUGUAGCGGUGAAAUGCGUAAAUAUUAGGAGGAACACCAAUGGCGAAGGCAACUUUCUGGACUGGAACCGACACUGUGGCACGAAAGCGUGGGUCGCAAACAG